UACAGAGGGGGCAAGCGUUGUUCGGAAUUACUGGGCGUAAAGCGUGCGCAGGCCGCUAUGUAAGACAGAUGUGAAAUCCCCGGGCUUAACCUGGGAACUGCAUUUGUGACUGCAUGGCUAGAGUACGGCAGAGGGGGAUGGAAUUCCGCGUGUAGCAGUGAAAUGCGUAGAUAUGCGGAGGAACACCGAUGGCGAAGGCAAUCCCCUGGGCCUGUACUGACGCUCAUGCACGAAAGCGUGGGGAGCAAACAGG
Molecule: ribosomal RNA, 253 nt
Filed under: uncultured bacterium
Lineage: Bacteria
Description: partial 16S ribosomal RNA
Rfam family: Bacterial small subunit ribosomal RNA
Source: RNAcentral